RNAcentral lists this ribosomal RNA (744 nucleotides) under uncultured marine bacterium. RNAcentral describes it as "bacterial SSU rRNA". It matches the Rfam family "Bacterial small subunit ribosomal RNA", at positions 57 to 796 of the family's 1533-position model. The record is from RNAcentral.
GCAAGUCGUGCGAGAAAGUAUCUUCGGAUAUAAAUAGAGCGGCGGACGGGUGAGUAACGCGUAGGAAUCUACCUAGUAGAAGGGGAUAGCCCGGGGAAACUCGGAUUAAUACCGUAUACCUCCUUCGGGAGAAAGAAGGCCUCUCAUUGAAGCUUUCGCUACUAGAUGAGCCUGCGUAAGAUUAGCUUGUUGGUGAGGUAAAAGCUCACCAAGGCGACGAUCUUUAGCGGGUCUGAGAGGACGAUCCGCCACAUUGGGACUGAGACACGGCCCAGACUCCUACGGGAGGCAGCAGUGGGGAAUAUUGGACAAUGGGCGCAAGCCUGAUCCAGCCAUACCGCGUGUGUGAAGAAGGCCCUAGGGUUGUAAAGCACUUUAAGUUGGGAAGAAAAGUUAUUGGUUAAUACCCAAUAGCCGUGACAUUACCAUCAGAAUAAGGACCGGCUAAUUCCGUGCCAGCAGCCGCGGUAAUACGGAAGGUCCAAGCGUUAAUCGGAAUUACUGGGCGUAAAGCGCGCGUAGGUGGUUUAUUAAGUUGGAUGUGAAAUCCCCGGGCUCAACCUGGGAACUGCAUCCAAAACUGAUUCACUAGAGUACGAUAGAGGGAGGUAGAAUUCACAGUGUAGCGGUGGAAUGCGUAGAUAUUGUGAAGAAUACCAAUGGCGAAGGCAGCCUCCUGGAUCUGUACUGACACUGAGGUGCGAAAGCGUGGGUAGCGAACAGGAUUAGAUACCCUGGUAGUCC